UACGGGGGGUGCAAGCGUUGUCCGGAAUUAUUGGGCGUAAAGCGUUCGUAAGCGGUAAUGCAAGUCUGAUGUCAAAUCCCGAGGCUCAACUCCGGUCGGGCAUAGGAUACUGUAUAACUUGAAUGCGGCAGAGGUUAAGGGAAUUCCCGGUGUAGCGGUGAAAUGCGUAGAUAUCGGGAAGAACACCGGUGGCGUAAGCGCUUAACCGGGCCGUAAUUGACGCUGAGGAACGAAAGCCGGGGGAGCAAAC
Molecule: ribosomal RNA, 250 nt
Filed under: uncultured prokaryote
Description: partial 16S ribosomal RNA
Rfam family: Bacterial small subunit ribosomal RNA
Source: RNAcentral